Molecule: ribosomal RNA, 1307 nt
Filed under: Poecilimon luschani
Lineage: Eukaryota; Metazoa; Arthropoda; Insecta; Orthoptera; Tettigoniidae
Description: 16S ribosomal RNA
Rfam family: Archaeal large subunit ribosomal RNA (bases 603-1307)
Source: RNAcentral
AGGAAUAUAUUAUUUAAAUUAUUUAAGGGAGGAUUAUUAAUUAAAAUAAUUUUAGUGAAUGUGUUUUAGUAUAGUUUAUGGAAUUUAUAAAGUGAGUAAUAGAGAAGUAGUACUGUGAAGGAAAUAUGAAAUAGAUGAUGAAAUAGUUAUUAGAAUGGAAGAAGAAUGAAGUUUGUACCUUGGGUAUCAGGGUUUAUUAAUUAAUAGUAAGGAUUUUAUAGUUCUCGAAUUGAAAAGAGUUAAAAUGGUAUGGUAGUUAAUGUGUUAUUAUUAUUAUUAAUAUUAUUUUAGGGAUGAAAUGUUAAACGUUUUUUAAGUUAUCUGGUUUUUCAAGAAAUGAAUUUAAUUUAUGUUAUUGAGAGUAAAUAUUUAAUUAAUUUAAUAAUUUAUUUUUAGUAAUAAAUGUAUAGAGGGAUAAGCUUUUAUAUAAUAAUUAUAAACUGUAGAAUUUGUAAAGAGUAGUAGGCUUUAAAUUAGCCAUCAAUAAAAUAAUGUUAUAAAUUGUUUUAUGAAUAGGUUAUUUUUUAAUAGUUUUAGUUUGUGUAUUGAAAUAUUGUAUUAAAUAAAUUAAUACAAGUGAUUAUGAUAAAAUGAGUAUAUAGAAUUGUUUACUAUAAUAUUUUUAGGAAUUUGUAAUAAGGAACUAGGCAAAAUUAUCACUCGCCUGUUUAUCAAAAACAUCUCCUUUUGUGUUUAUAUAAGGUAGGGCCUGCCCACUGAAAUUUAUUUGAAGGGCCGCGGUAUUAUGACCGUGCAAAGGUAGCAUAAUCAUUAGUCUUUUAAUUGAAGGCUGGAAUGAAUGGUUUGACGAGGUGAUGACUGUCUCAUUAUAAUAUAUAGAAGUUAACUUUUAAGUUAAAAGGCUUAAAUAUUGGUGGAGGACGAGAAGACCCUAUAGAGCUUUAUAUAUAAAUCUAGAUUUGUAUUUAGUGGUUUAUAAAAAUUUAGAUUUAGUAUAUUAUGUUGGGGUGACAUAAAGAUACAAUUAACUCUUUAUUUUAGGAACAUUGAUGUAUGGAUUUUUUGAUCCAUUUUUAGUGAUCAUAAGAUUAAGUUACCUUAGGGAUAACAGCGUAAUUUUUCUUGAGAGUUCAUAUCAACAGAAAAGAUUGCGACCUCGAUGUUGGAUUAAGGAAUAUAAUUGGAUGCAGCAGUUUAAGUUAAUAGGUCUGUUCGACCUUUAAAUCCUUACAUGAUCUGAGUUCAGACCGGUGUGAGCCAGGUCGGUUUCUAUCCUCAUUGUUUUUUUAUACUUUAGUACGAAAGGACCAAGUAUUUUAAAUAUUUUAUUAUGUUUGAUUAUUAUU